Molecule: long non-coding RNA, 453 nt
Organism: Podarcis raffonei (Aeolian wall lizard)
Lineage: Eukaryota; Metazoa; Chordata; Lepidosauria; Squamata; Lacertidae
Exons: 4
Source: RefSeq, a predicted model, not a curated record
UAGGCACAUGUGCCCAUGACGAUUACACAAGAACACACUUCAAUUAAUAAAAAAAUAUUGCUUACAGAGUUAGGGUAGGAGAUUUGCCAGCAACAAGAAGACUGUGUACUGGUAAAACCGGUUUUCCCUGUUGCAGAGCCUCAGUGUGAAGGAAGGACAACUGUGUUCCACAAUCAAAACGCUCCAGGGUGGGGUGAUUUGCCAAAAAAACCUGGAUGUCUGUACACACCCCUUUAACAAGAGGACCAACGAUGGACAAAAGGCUACUCUUUGAGAAACAUUAUGUACAUCAGCCAGGAAGAAGCUUAACCAUGGGACCAUGUGGGGAGAGAGGGUCACAGGAACCUCUGCUCCAGAAACAGAAGCACAAUAUUUGGUUGCAUGGAAUUUGUCAUCCUGAAGACAUGAAUGGCUGCUUUUGGCUUUUGUUGAGGAAGAGAAAUGCAUCCCAUG